AAGUACUGCGGGACACGAGAAACCCCGUGGGAAUCAGGGGGGACCACCCCCCAAGGCUAAAUACUCUUAGCGACCGAUAGUGAACAAGUACCGUGAGGGAAAGGUGAAAAGCACCCCGGGAGGGGAGUGAAAUAGAACCUGAAACCAUGUGCCUACAAGCUGUCGAAGGGCGUUAAAAGCCUGACGGCGUACUUUUUGUAGAACGGACCGGCGAGUUACAUCUAACGUGCAGGUUAAGGCAGGAAAGCCGGAGCCGAAGCGAAAGCAAGUCUUAAUAGGGCGCAAUGUACGUUGGAGUAGACCCGAAACCUGGUGAUCUACCCAUGUCCAGAGUGAAGCUUUAGUAAAAUAAAGUGGAGGCUCGAACCGACCUUCGUUGAAAAGGAGGCGGAUGAGGUGUGGGUAGGGGUGAAAUGCCAAUCGAACCAGGAGAUAGCUGGUUCUCCCCGAAAUAGCUUUAGGGCUAGCCUCGGUUUAAGAUUAGCGGAGGUAGAGCACUGAAUGGGCUAGGGGCCUUCACGGGUUACCGAACCCAAUCAAACUCCGAAUGCCGCAUAAUUAUAACCGGGAGUCAGACUGCGGGUGCUAAGAUUCGUAGUCAAAAGGGAAACAGCCCAGA
RNAcentral lists this ribosomal RNA (619 nucleotides) under Desulforamulus aquiferis. Its description in RNAcentral is "partial 23S ribosomal RNA". It matches the Rfam family "Bacterial large subunit ribosomal RNA", at positions 410 to 1031 of the family's 2925-position model. Lineage: Bacteria; Bacillati; Bacillota; Clostridia; Eubacteriales; Peptococcaceae. The record is from RNAcentral.